AUUGAACGCUGGCGGCAUGCCUUACACAUGCAAGUCGAACGGCAGCACGGGGGGUAACCCCUGGUGGCGAGUGGCGAACGGGUGAGUAAUAUAUCGGAACGUGUCCUGUAGCGGGGGAUAACCUAUCGAAAGAUGGACUAAUACCGCAUACGACCUACGGGUGAAAGCGGAGGACCGCAAGGCUUCGCACUAUAGGAGCGGCCGAUAUCGGAUUAGCUAGUUGGGGGGGUAACGGCCCACCAAGGCGACGAUCCGUAGCUGGUCUGAGAGGCGAUCAGCCACAAUGGAACUGAGACAAGGUCCAGACUCCUACGGGAGGCAGCAGUGGGGAAUUUUGGACAAUGGGCGCAAGCCUGAUCCAGCCAUGCCGCGUGAGUGAAGAAGGCCUUCGGGUUGUAAAGCUCUUUCGGCGGGGACGAAACGGUUCGUGCUAAUACCACGGACUACUGACGGUACCCGCAGAAGAAGCACCGGCUAACUACGUG
This 485-nucleotide ribosomal RNA is filed under the name uncultured bacterium. Its description in RNAcentral is "partial 16S ribosomal RNA". It matches the Rfam family "Bacterial small subunit ribosomal RNA", at positions 29 to 507 of the family's 1533-position model. The record is from RNAcentral.